GCAGCACAGCGCUGCGCUCCUAGAGAAGCUGUGGGUUCGUGGCAUCCGCGCCGCGGCCGCAAAUAUAGCAGGUUUCGUACCUGGUGUUCAUCGCCGUUAAGUCAUCGCUGCUGCCACCCAGGCACGGCUCUCUAUGCCGCCGCUCCCUCCACCCUCUCUGCACUGCCAGCAGUAAGAAUUUUUACUGCGACACUCGCUUCAGCAGGAGAUUUUAUUGGCUGUAGACACGCCCAGCAUCUUCUUGAGCUCCUCCCUGAGGUGGAUGGGCAGCUAGCUGCAGGUGGCACAGGAUGAUACACAUCUUUUCUCACGCCGCUUUGCCCUCUAGCUCCAAGAUCUCGGCUGCCAGUGACUUCAACUGAAGUGGAGUAAAUAAAGAUGAUUGCAGAACUUGGAAGCUGACGAAAUCAGUUUUGGAAAAGAGCUGGCUUGGAGCGUGACAGAAGGGAGAGAUGGAAAGAAUGCUGGGAGUCCAACUCAAGACUGAUGUGUGCUUGGCAGGCAGUCUACCCCAGUCUCAGUCCUCUAGCCUUUUGGCCUUUUUUCCUUUUUGGAGACAGGAUUGCAUCAUAGGGCAGCCUGGCCUCCUACACAGUCCUGCCUCAGUCUCUGGAGUGCUGGGAUUGUAGGCCUAUACCACCGCGCCUUUCUACAAUACAAACAGGAAAGGAAGAGGGGCUUCUUUGGAAAGGAGUAAAAGGACCA
RNAcentral lists this long non-coding RNA (705 nucleotides) under Mus pahari (shrew mouse). RNAcentral describes it as "lncRNA (MGP_PahariEiJ_G0006499.1)". Lineage: Eukaryota; Metazoa; Chordata; Mammalia; Rodentia; Muridae. The record is from RNAcentral.